Molecule: long non-coding RNA, 496 nt
Filed under: Homo sapiens (human)
Lineage: Eukaryota; Metazoa; Chordata; Mammalia; Primates; Hominidae
Description: non-protein coding LINC00545:4
Source: RNAcentral
CUCUCUGGCGACCUCCCGACUCGCUCUGGAGCUCCCCUGUGUGCCCCCUCCCCACGUGGCACAGCAUGUCCUCUCCUCUUGGAAACCAGGAGUUUGAAAUUCUUGCUUCAGGCCAUAUGGAGUGGAUAUUCCUUCCAGAAGGAAAUUACAGACCACUCUCUGUUUCUACUCAACUGCUUUUCACUCCAGGAUGCUUCACCUCUUGGGGCCUUCCCCAGCAGAGGCCCAGGAUCACCUGCAAAAGGCUUCCCCAAGGGUGGGGCCAGAAGCAGGGCUGCAGAUAUGUGUCCUGAACCUCCCAUGGACCCUGCUGGCUCCCUUCAAAGGCUUCGGGCAUAGCGACUUGCCUUUCCGUCUUGUUCAGUCGUCACCAGUCAGCCGUCUGCAGACUUCUCUCCCUCACGUUGUGGCAGAGGAGUUGUACAUUCUCUAGAUUUUAAAAAUAUAUAAGUUACUUUUUCUUUAAAAUAAAAAUUGUCUCUGAAAUAAGCUCCCA